GAUAAACGCUGGCGGCGUGCAUGAGACAUGCAAGUCGAACGGACGAUCUCGGGCUUGCCUGGGGUCGUUAGUGGCGAACGGCUGAGUAACGCGUGGGUGACCUGCCCGGAAGUGGGGAAUAACUGCCCGAAAGGGGUGGCUAAUACCGCAUGUGGCCAUACGUUCGGUCGUAUGACCAAAGCCGCAAGGCGCUUCCGGAGGGGCCUGCGUUCGAUUAGCUCGUUGGUGGGGUAACGGCUCACCAAGGCGACGAUCGAUAGGUGGUCUGAGAGGAUGAUCACCCAGACUGGGACUGAGACACGGCCCAGACUCCUACGGGAGGCAGCAGUCGGGAAUUUUGCUCAAUGGGCGAAAGCCUGAAGCAGCAACGCCGCGUGAGGGAUGAAGGCCUUCGGGUUGUAAACCUCUUUUCCCAGGGACGAUGAUGACGGUACCUGGGGAAUAAGCCACGGCUAACUACGUGCCAGCAGCCGCGGUAA
This 479-nucleotide ribosomal RNA is filed under the name uncultured bacterium. RNAcentral describes it as "partial 16S ribosomal RNA". It matches the Rfam family "Bacterial small subunit ribosomal RNA", at positions 28 to 523 of the family's 1533-position model. The record is from RNAcentral.